GUUUUCGGUGGAUUAUCCAAAGGAACAUAUCACAGCUGUUGGUGGAAGCUACGAUCAUAUUUUUACCUACGAUACAACGCUUAUCACAUCGCUAUACUUCACAACCUCCAAUGGAAUUACCUCUCCAUUAUUUGGUAAGCAGAGUGGAAAAGACUUCAAUCUCAAAGGUGAAAAUGGAGGAAAGCUUGUUGGAUUCCAUGGCCGUGGUGGAGCUGCUAUAAAUGCCAUUGGAGCUUACUUUGACACCAGUUCGAAAGGAGGUGACGAUACAAAACCUGUUGACACUGACACCAAACCCGGCAAAGACGAUUCAAAACCUGAUGCCUCGGGAAAGACGGGACUGCUUGGUGGUAAAGGUGGAAACGCAUUUGACGAUGGUCGUUUUGAUGGUGUAAAGAAAAUAACUGUGGGAGCGGAUGAUUUAAGUGUGACCUAUAUCAAGAUAGAAUACAUUAAAGAUGGAAAGGUCGAAAUCCGUGAACAUGGGACGAAUCGCGGGGAACUAAAAGAGGUUAGAUUGAAUCAAUCAAAAGUCUUUUUGUGUGUGAAUUUUGUUUUUAUUCAAUUGGUAUGCCACUAAUUCGUUUGUUAAUACAGUUUUCGGUGGAUUAUCCGAAAGACAAGAUCACAGCCGUUGGUGGAAGCUACGAUCAUAUUUUCACCUACGAUGCGACGCUUGUCACAUCACUAUACUUCACAACCUCCAAUGGAAUCACCUCUCCAUUAUUCGGUAAAACGAGUGGAAAUGACUUCAAUCUCAAAGGUGAAAAUGGAGAAAAGCUUGUUGGGUUCCAUGGACGUGGUGGCACUGCUAUUGAUGCCAUUGGAGCUUACUUCGACACUAGCAGCGAUUCCAGUACUCAAAGAGUGGACGCACAAGGAGGCAAGGGAGGCAUUCAAUGGGACGAUGGAGGCGAUCACGAUGGUGUGACGAAGAUACUUCUUGUAGGUAGUGGUCGAGGUAUUGAUCAAAUCAAGUUCGAUUAUCUCGAAAACAAGCAGCCAAAGGAAGGAACCCUCCAUGGUGUGAAAGGAAGAAGAAGUUUCGAAUCAACGGUCAGUAUAAAUGUAAUAUUAUUAUUUUUUUCACGUUUUUCUGAUUACUGAAAAUUUCGUGUUCUCUGCAGAUUGAGAUAAGUCAUCCCAAUGAGUAUCUAGUUUCAGUCAAGGGUUGGUACGAUGCGUCCAAUGUCAUUCAGGGACUUCAGUUCAAAACCAGCACAAAGACUUCUGAUUACUUUGUGUCCGAAUUUGCUGGAGACGGUACAGAGUUUACACUUGAAGUUAAAGACAAG
RNAcentral lists this long non-coding RNA (1295 nucleotides) under Eutrema salsugineum. Its description in RNAcentral is "long non-coding RNA (ESAL_LNC000288)". The record is from RNAcentral. Lineage: Eukaryota; Viridiplantae; Streptophyta; Magnoliopsida; Brassicales; Brassicaceae.